Molecule: long non-coding RNA, 1852 nt
Organism: Nerophis lumbriciformis (worm pipefish)
Lineage: Eukaryota; Metazoa; Chordata; Actinopteri; Syngnathiformes; Syngnathidae
Source: RefSeq, a predicted model, not a curated record
AGAUGAGGUCAAUUCCUGCUGAUGACAUCACUCAGCAUGGAACUACGGUGUAAACCAGAGAAGCAGGACUCUUCCUGGCUGUCACAAAGCCGUAGUACUCGGUCAUGUCGAACACCGGAUUAAACCGGUUCACUGCAACGACACGGACCAUCACUGUGGCAACAGUGUACUUCCUGGGGUCAUCGUCCUGGUAGGCCUGCGUGUAGGACACCCACAAGGAAACGUCCGUGGUUGUCUCCUAGAGUGGAAACCAAUUUUGAGAUUACAAGCACAGUUCUUUGAAGCCUUAUCUUGACUGAACUACCUGAGAGGAUGGCAAAGCUGACUGGCGCUCUGAGACCUCGGUCUCCAUCAACUGCAUGAAUGGGACCGGGAGAAAAAUCCAGAACAAAAUCCUGCAGCACACGACAAUAUUGAGUAAGUUGCCCGGACUGUAAAUGCAACGGUAUUCACUGGAGUGAGCUGGAGAGUACAGUACGUGACAGGAACAGUUUUACUAAUCCUGUAUGCUGAACUAGUCCGAGUCCAGAGUGAGUCAGAGUGACCUACCUCACUGAUAACAACAAAGUAGACCGCGUUGUCUGCAAACUCCGGUAAGUUGUCGUUGUCAUUGAGAACCUCCACCAUGACUCUGGAAACACUCUGGAACAACAACAGUAGAGCUUGGUUCACUUUGGGGAAAGUACAGUGAGGACUGCAAAGUGUACCUGAAGCACAUCAUCCUCAUAACACGACAAUUCUGCCAUCAGGAUGGAACCCUGCAUCUGAAAGACAGGAAGUCACGUUAAGCUUUACAGUCUGGUAGAAGGUUGGAUGGUGGUUUUAUCUGCUUGCUGUCUUGGUUAGCUUUUGUUAGUUGGCUGUUGGAGGUUGGUUGACAUGGUGGUCAUUUGAUUGUUUGUUGGUGUCAUUGUUUGUUGACCACCCACGAUGGUUUGUUCAUGGCUUUUUAUUGAAUUGUUUGGUUUAUUAGUUGCUUCUUUGGUUAGUCUAGCCUUUGGUUGGUUGGUUAGGUGAUGGUUGGUUGGUUAGUUGGGUUGGUAGUUCUGUUGGUAGUUAUUUAGUUAAUUGUUUGGUUAGUUGGUUAACUAUUUGAUUGGUUAUUCAGUUGGUUACUUGCUUUUUCGUUUAAUUGUUUGAUUGGUUGGUUAUUUGGUUUAUAUGUUGGAUUGCUUUGUUAGUUACCGUUUGUUAAUUGCUUUUUUGUAAUGGACCUUUGUUUGGUUAAUUGGUUGUACGGUUUGUAAAUUACUUUUUUUGGUUAGUUGGUUGGUUCGUAAGUUACUUCAGCUCUUUGUAUGUUUUUUGUUGCUUUGAUAGUUAAUUUAUUGGUUGGUUUGUUAUUUGGUUAGUUUAGCUGUUCAUGUAACAAACGGUAGAAAAUGGAUGGUUUGUUAGCUGUUGUUUCUUGGUAAAUGGGUGCUUGGUUGGUUGGUUAGGUUUUUGAUGUACUGUUUGGUGAGUUUGUUCGUUAGGUUUUUAUGAGUUGUUUGUUGCUUGGAUGGUUGUUUAUUGAUUUGUUUCUUCAGUUGGUCAGGUGAUUAAAUAUUACACUAACUCUGCUAAACACAUUUCUAAAAACUGUUAAGUUACAUUCUGUUUUUAAUCACUCAGAGUAAAUUGACAUGCCCAUAAAUUCCAGACUUUAUGAACAAUUCCUUCUUAAUUUGUACAUAAAUUGAACCCAAACAAAACAACAAUGAGUUCUACCCAAUAAAAGACAAACGCUAUAUUUCUAUUGCCUUGUGAGUUGUUUGAUUCUUGCCUUCAUCUUAAAUCUCUGACUGAUUGAGAAAGAAAGAGAGUGACAGUUAAUCUAGUUGACCUUUUCACUUCAGUGUCAACAAGAAAC